AGAUCAAACUGUUGGUCGUGCCUUGGUACGUACUGGCAUUAUUGAUUUCUCCCUUCUUAAGAACCACGAUGUCAUUAAUUUGGUGUCUUGGGGAAUCAGGACUGUUACUUUGAAAAAAUUAGAGUGUUUAAAGCAGGCUCACGCUUGAAUACAUUAGCAUGGAAUAAUGAAAUAGGACGUUUGAUUCUAUUUUGUUGGUUCUUAGGAUCGAUGUA
This 215-nucleotide ribosomal RNA is filed under the name Campeiostachys nutans. RNAcentral's name for it is "Elymus nutans partial small subunit ribosomal RNA". The stretch from base 37 to 215 matches the Rfam family "Eukaryotic small subunit ribosomal RNA", at positions 684 to 864 of the family's 1831-position model. The record is from RNAcentral. Lineage: Eukaryota; Viridiplantae; Streptophyta; Magnoliopsida; Poales; Poaceae.